CGAAAAUAGAGUGGCAGGUUGGUAUCUCCUGCGCCCACUUGCUGGGUUCUUACUACGCCGCGG
This 63-nucleotide non-coding RNA is filed under the name unclassified sequences. The record is from RNAcentral.